AUUGAACGCUGGCGGCAUGCCUUACACAUGCAAGUCGAACGGCAGCACGGGAGCAAUCCUGGUGGCGAGUGGCGAACGGGUGAGUAAUACAUCGGAACGUGCCCAGUAGUGGGGGAUAACCCGGCGAAAGCCGGACUAAUACCGCAUACGACCUACGGGUGAAAGCGGGGGAUCGCAAGACCUCGCGCUAUCGGAGCGGCCGAUGUCAGAUUAGCUUGGUUGGUGGGGAAAAGCCUACCAAGGCGACGAUCUGUAGCUGGUCUGAGAGGACGACCAGCCACACUGGGACUGAGACACGGCCCAGACUCCUACGGGAGGCAGCAGUGGGGAAUUUUGGACAAUGGCGCAAGCCUGAUCCAGCCAUGCCGCGU
RNAcentral lists this ribosomal RNA (371 nucleotides) under uncultured bacterium. Its description in RNAcentral is "bacterial SSU rRNA". It matches the Rfam family "Bacterial small subunit ribosomal RNA", at positions 29 to 402 of the family's 1533-position model. The record is from RNAcentral.